Molecule: long non-coding RNA, 941 nt
Organism: Frankliniella occidentalis (western flower thrips)
Lineage: Eukaryota; Metazoa; Arthropoda; Insecta; Thysanoptera; Thripidae
Exons: 2
Source: RefSeq, a predicted model, not a curated record
GAAUGGACAUCGCCGCUUUUCGAUAUUAAUCCCAAGGAACUCGGCCCAGAAAUGUUCUUGACAUAUAACCAAGAGAAGUCUAUGGAGUCAUUUUACACAAAAGAAUAGGUGAGUUGACAUGACAGUAACGGCCAACGCUGGUCCAAUUUGUCUCUGUACAGACACUAUGAGGAGCUUCCUUUCAUGUGCAUCAAAGGGUGAUUCUUGAUUUCUUUGAUGGUGCCUUAGUUCUUUGUUGUCGAUUUCAAUCCUCCACUGAUAAUGUCUUUUAAAAAUCUUGGCAAUUUGGAAAAUUGCUGGAAUUGGUUUGGAUUGGUGGGGCAGACUCCCUUUUCACAUGCUCUGUCUAAAUAUCAUGGUGCCGACCCACUACAGCAGAGUUCUUAGCCAGUGCGCCUUAGGUAGCCUACCCGCCCUUAGUUAGAGAGACCAGCUCUUAUAAGACUCAAGUCUUUGUGGACAGGGGUGGUUUCUGACAGAAACGAAGGUAGUUUUGUGGUGCCUGGUUCAUUCCUGUCGAUUCGAAUACUCCUCCAUCGAAAUCCGAACCCAUCAAUUUAUAGCCUUUGUAAAUUUGGCCAAAAAAGAAAAAUUUGAAAAUCGCUGGAAAUAGUUGGGAUUGGUCAGACUGAAUCCUUUUUCAAUCUCUGCGUCGAAGUUUUACGCCGCCGGGCCAUCUUAAGUGAGAUACGCCUGUCUUUGGACCGGUUCGCCUGCGAGGUAGGCAGCCCAUCGUACGCUGACCGCCAGAUUCAAAAGACCACCCUUAAAACUCAAGUUUCUCUGGAAAGGGGUGGUUUCUUGCUGAACCAAAUGUAGUUUUGUGGUCCCCUGGGCCACCUCUGUCGAUUUGACUACUUUUCCGUCGAAAUCCGGACCCAUCAAUUUUCGCUAAAAACACAAAGGCUAUAGCCUUUGUAAAUUUGGCCAAAAAUGAAAAA